UAUGUGAUCGUCUCUCGCAUAUCAAUAAGCGGAGGAAAAGAAACUAACAAGGAUUCCCCUAGUAACGGCGAGUGAAGCGGGAAGAGCUCAAAUUUGAAAUCUUAAAGGGUUUCCCUUUACGAAUUGUAGUUUAAAGAAGUGUUUUCUGUUGAGGUUUUGGUAAAAGUUCUUUGGAAUAGGACAUCAUAGAGGGUGAGAAUCCCGUAUUUGACCUUUACUUUCAACUUUGUGAUACACUUUCAAAGAGUCGGAUUGUUUGGGAAUGCAGUCCAAAAUGGGUGGUAAAUUUCAUCUAAAGCUAAAUAUUGGCGAGAGACCGAUAGCGAACAAGUACCGUGAGGGAAAGAUGAAAAGAACUUUGAAAAGAGAGUUAAACAGUACGUGAAAUUGUCAAAAGGGAAGCGUUUGACACCAGUGUUGUUUUUCUGAAAAUCAAUUAAAGAACUGUUUAUGCUAAGCUGUUUAGACUUUAUCAGCUAACUGUUUAGUUUUGAGCUUUUCUUUAAUGCACUUUUCAGUUAACAAGUCAACAUCAAUUUCUUUUGCUGUAAAAAAGCUUGAGGAAGGUGGCUUGAGAUUCGUCUUAAGUGUUUAUAGCCUCUUGCCUAUGCAGUCGGAGAGAAUUGAGGUCUGCAGCGUAGAUCCUUCGGGGCUAAAUGCAUUUGUGCUAAGUUAUAGGCAUUUUAUAGACAACUUGUUGACUAUGAUUUGUCUUGUAGCUUACUCGCUUAUGUUAUUUUACCUACGCUUAGGAUGUUGAUCUCUCACAGUCGAGC
RNAcentral lists this ribosomal RNA (776 nucleotides) under uncultured Neocallimastigales. Its description in RNAcentral is "partial large subunit ribosomal RNA". It matches the Rfam family "Eukaryotic large subunit ribosomal RNA", at positions 24 to 645 of the family's 3401-position model. The record is from RNAcentral. Lineage: Eukaryota; Fungi; Neocallimastigomycota; Neocallimastigomycetes; Neocallimastigales.